GGUUAAGCGACUAAGCGUACACGGUGGAUGCCCUGGCAGUCAGAGGCGAUGAAGGACGUGCUAAUCUGCGAUAAGCGUCGGUGAGGUGAUAUGAACCGUUAUAACCGGCGAUUUCCGAAUGGGGAAACCCAGUGUGUUUCGACACACUAUCAUUAACUGAAUCCAUAGGUUAAUGAGGCGAACCGGGGGAACUGAAACAUCUAAGUACCCCGAGGAAAAGAAAUCAACCGAGAUUCCCCCAGUAGCGGCGAGCGAACGGGGAGGAGCCCAGAGCCUGAAUCAGUGUGUGUGUUAGUGGAAGCGUCUGGAAAGGCGUGCGAUACAGGGUGACAGCCCCGUACACAAAAAUGCACAUACUGUGAGCUCGAUGAGUAGGGCGGGACACGUGGUAUCCUGUCUGAAUAUGGGGGGACCAUCCUCCAAGGCUAAAUACUCCUGACUGACCGAUAGUGAACCAGUACCGUGAGGGAAAGGCGAAAAGAACCCCGGCGAGGGGAGUGAAAAAGAACCUGAAACCGUGUACGUACAAGCAGUGGGAGCACGCUUAGGCGUGUGACUGCGUACCUUUUGUAUAAUGGGUCAGCGACUUAUAUUCUGUAGCAAGGUUAACCGAAUAGGGGAGCCGAAGGGAAACCGAGUCUUAACUGGGCGUUAAGUUGCAGGGUAUAGACCCGAAACCCGGUGAUCUAGCCAUGGGCAGGUUGAAGGUUGGGUAACACUAACUGGAGGACCGAACCGACUAAUGUUGAAAAAUUAGCGGAUGACUUGUGGCUGGGGGUGAAAGGCCAAUCAAACCGGGAGAUAGCUGGUUCUCCCCGAAAGCUAUUUAGGUAGCGCCUCGUGAAUUCAUCUCCGGGGGUAGAGCACUGUUUCGGCAAGGGGGUCAUCCCGACUUACCAACCCGAUGCAAACUGCGAAUACCGGAGAAUGUUAUCACGGGAGACACACGGCGGGUGCUAACGUCCGUCGUGAAGAGGGAAACAACCCAGACCGCCAGCUAAGGUCCCAAAGUCAUGGUUAAGUGGGAAACGAUGUGGGAAGGCCCAGACAGCCAGGAUGUUGGCUUAGAAGCAGCCAUCAUUUAAAGAAAGCGUAAUAGCUCACUGGUCGAGUCGGCCUGCGCGGAAGAUGUAACGGGGCUAAACCAUGCACCGAAGCUGCGGCAGCGACGCUUAUGCGUUGUUGGGUAGGGGAGCGUUCUGUAAGCCUGCGAAGGUGUGCUGUGAGGCAUGCUGGAGGUAUCAGAAGUGCGAAUGCUGACAUAAGUAACGAUAAAGCGGGUGAAAAGCCCGCUCGCCGGAAGACCAAGGGUUCCUGUCCAACGUUAAUCGGGGCAGGGUGAGUCGACCCCUAAGGCGAGGCCGAAAGGCGUAGUCGAUGGGAAACAGGUUAAUAUUCCUGUACUUGGUGUUACUGCGAAGGGGGGACGGAGAAGGCUAUGUUGGCCGGGCGACGGUUGUCCCGGUUUAAGCGUGUAGGCUGGUUUUCCAGGCAAAUCCGGAAAAUCAAGGCUGAGGCGUGAUGACGAGGCACUACGGUGCUGAAGCAACAAAUGCCCUGCUUCCAGGAAAAGCCUCUAAGCAUCAGGUAACAUCAAAUCGUACCCCAAACCGACACAGGUGGUCAGGUAGAGAAUACCAAGGCGCUUGAGAGAACUCGGGUGAAGGAACUAGGCAAAAUGGUGCCGUAACUUCGGGAGAAGGCACGCUGAUAUGUAGGUGAAGUCCCUCGCGGAUGGAGCUGAAAUCAGUCGAAGAUACCAGCUGGCUGCAACUGUUUAUUAAAAACACAGCACUGUGCAAACACGAAAGUGGACGUAUACGGUGUGACGCCUGCCCGGUGCCGGAAGGUUAAUUGAUGGGGUUAGCGCAAGCGAAGCUCUUGAUCGAAGCCCCGGUAAACGGCGGCCGUAACUAUAACGGUCCUAAGGUAGCGAAAUUCCUUGUCGGGUAAGUUCCGACCUGCACGAAUGGCGUAAUGAUGGCCAGGCUGUCUCCACCCGAGACUCAGUGAAAUUGAACUCGCUGUGAAGAUGCAGUGUACCCGCGGCAAGACGGAAAGACCCCGUGAACCUUUACUAUAGCUUGACACUGAACAUUGAGCCUUGAUGUGUAGGAUAGGUGGGAGGCUUUGAAGUGUGGACGCCAGUCUGCAUGGAGUCGACCUUGAAAUACCACCCUUUAAUGUUUGAUGUUCUAACGUUGACCCGUGAUCCGGGUUGCGGACAGUGUCUGGUGGGUAGUUUGACUGGGGCGGUCUCCUCCUAAAGAGUAACGGAGGAGCACGAAGGUUGGCUAAUCCUGGUCGGACAUCAGGAGGUUAGUGCAAUGGCAUAAGCCAGCUUGACUGCGAGCGUGACGGCGCGAGCAGGUGCGAAAGCAGGUCAUAGUGAUCCGGUGGUUCUGAAUGGAAGGGCCAUCGCUCAACGGAUAAAAGGUACUCCGGGGAUAACAGGCUGAUACCGCCCAAGAGUUCAUAUCGACGGCGGUGUUUGGCACCUCGAUGUCGGCUCAUCACAUCCUGGGGCUGAAGUAGGUCCCAAGGGUAUGGCUGUUCGCCAUUUAAAGUGGUACGCGAGCUGGGUUUAGAACGUCGUGAGACAGUUCGGUCCCUAUCUGCCGUGGGCGCUGGAGAACUGAGGGGGGCUGCUCCUAGUACGAGAGGACCGGAGUGGACGCAUCACUGGUGUUCGGGUUGUCAUGCCAAUGGCACUGCCCGGUAGCUAAAUGCGGAAGAGAUAAGUGCUGAAAGCAUCUAAGCACGAAACUUGCCCCGAGAUGAGUUCUCCCUGACUCCUUGAGAGUCCUGAAGGAACGUUGAAGACGACGACGUUGAUAGGCCGGGUGUGUAAGCGCAGCGAUGCGUUGAGCUAACCGGUACUAAUGAACCGUGAGGCUUAACCUU
Molecule: ribosomal RNA, 2904 nt
Filed under: Escherichia coli
Lineage: Bacteria; Pseudomonadati; Pseudomonadota; Gammaproteobacteria; Enterobacterales; Enterobacteriaceae
Description: 23S ribosomal RNA
Rfam family: Bacterial large subunit ribosomal RNA
Source: RNAcentral